RNAcentral lists this ribosomal RNA (425 nucleotides) under uncultured bacterium. RNAcentral describes it as "bacterial SSU rRNA". It matches the Rfam family "Bacterial small subunit ribosomal RNA", at positions 354 to 796 of the family's 1533-position model. The record is from RNAcentral.
GUGGGGAAUAUUGGACAAUGGGCGCAAGCCUGAUCCAGCCAUGCCGCGUGAGUGAUGAAGGCCCUAGGGUUGUAAAGCUCUUUCAGUGGGGACGAUAAUGACGGUACCCACAGAAGAAGCCCCGGCUAACUUCGUGCCAGCAGCCGCGGUAAUACGAAGGGGGCUAGCGUUGUUCGGAUUUACUGGGCGUAAAGCGCACGUAGGCGGAUCGUUAAGUCGAGGGUGAAAUCCUGGAGAUCAACUCCAGAACUGCCUUCGAUACUGGCGGUCGUGAGUCCGGAAGAGGUGAGUGGAACUCCUAGUGUAGAGGUGGAAUUCGUAGAUAUUAGGAAGAACACCAGUGGCGAAGGCGGCUCACUGGUCCGGUACUGACGCUGAGGUGCGAAAGCGUGGGGAGCAAACAGGAUUAGAAACCCUUGUAGUCC